CUGAUGUUCUUCAAGAUGUGUUGCUCAUGUCUGUUCUACAUCCUGCCCUCCUUCCCCUCUGUUGGAGUUGUCUGGCAAGAAGGAACUGAGGGUGAGGGGAGCGCGCAGCGUCCCUUAUACCGCACCAUGGAGGUGCCAUUCCAGGGGUCGCUAGGGCACUUCCCUAUGGGUACUGCUAGGGGAAAAACUUCCAGCACCGGUGCACAUGGCUUGCACACACACACCUGUUGUGGAAUAGACAUGAGCAACACAUCUUGAAGAACACCAAUUAUGGAAAAUGUAACUGUCUUAUCUCCACCACUUAGCCUGACCUGUAAAGGCCUGAUCUAAUUCCUAUUGAAAUCAGCGGAAAGACUCCAGUUGACUUCAGUGGGAUAUUGAUCAAGUUCUGAAUUAUGCAAGGUUAGCAGGAAGGAGCAGCGACUUACUAUUUCAUAUUUUUUGUUUUACUCCACACCAACCUGUAACUCUUUAUUCCUAAAGGUGGACUUACAAAGUUAAAAAUGAACUGGUGCCCAUUUUGCUUUUUUUAAAAAAUGCAUGUAGAAGUGUGAAUUUGUUUCAGAAGUUUUUGCUUUAUUUUUUAUGAGAGAAAUUUAGGUCCCAUCUAGGCUGAAAAACUGGAGAGCUAGUGUAAAUGGUGACGACAUAAGAAGCAGCAAGAUAGUGAAAAUUAAGCUGUUAGGGGAAAGGAUUUUUAGUCAGACUUCCUAAAACUAUUUUUUAUUGGCACUUAAGCAGUUACCAUUUUGAAUACAGGAAGCCUUUGUUAGUCAUCACCCUCUCCUCCUCAAUUAAAAUGUUAUAUCUGUUGUAAUUGCUCAUUUUCCACUUCACAAAAUGCCUCCCAACACAAAACCAAAGAAGACAAUAUUAUGCAUUCCUGCUAUUAUUAAGACACAAGCUGGGGCAGAGGGAGAGAGACUGUUCAAGUUGUUUUCCUACAUCAUAGAGGAGAUACCCUUUCAGAGUUCUGUUUGAGUUCUGUGCUUUUCUCUUGGGAUUCAGUCUCCCUUCUGUAUUAGCUACUGAUCCUCCACUGAUACAUCCUCUGAAUUUAACUGAUUGCAAAUGUCAGUUGAUGUUAUUUUUCCUCCUUUCUUUGUACCAGUUUCUUCAGAGAAGUAUCCUAUUCCCUGGUAUAUUUUUUUUGAAAUCUCCAGUGGGAAGGAGAAAUCCAUUUUCUUGCCAGCUUUGUAUGGAGUUCAGAGUUUGUCUGCGGUACUGGGGGUAGGGUGGGGUGAGGAUUAGCUUCAGAAUAUUAAUGAUGACUUUGAACAUAAUGAGGGUGAAGUUUACUUUCCACUUUUCUGGGGGCUUAGCCUUCACUCUUCUGGGUCAAAAACACUCUGUUGGAGUUCAGUGGCACUUUUUGGUUACUGCCCUAGUCCAGAGGUUUUCGAAGUCUGUCAUCAUAUGGAUCACUAAAGUAUGAGAAUUUAAUGAACAAUUUCCCACUCCAUACAUCCCCGUUCCGCACCACAAUAUCCCUGUUGCAAGUAGUGUACUUGAUGAAUUAGUAAAUGCCAAACUACAUUUUUUUAGAAGUAAUUUGAAUCCUGUCUUCCUUUUUCUUUUCAUUUCCUUUCUCCCCAGCUGCUUCUACAAGCAUCAGUGUUCUGUAGUGAGGAGCCUGUUUGCCUGUAGAAGACACUGUAAAUAAGCAGCUAGCACAAGCUGAAAGCAAGAACCCUUUGUAAGCCUUAAUUUGAGAACUGCUGCCACAAUAUUUUUCUCCAGAAGUUGAAACCUGAUUUAAACUACACGUGAAAUGAAUUUUUUUUCUUACUAUACUCCCUAGCAAAUAUUCAUCCCAGAGCGUGGCACAACUGACCGUUUUUGUUCAGUGUGCCUGGAUUGGAAUAGCAGGGUGUUAGGAUUGAGGUGAACUGACAGACAUUGGGAUAAGUAGCAGUGGGAGAGCAGGAGGUGUUCAAGAGUAGAAUGAGGGUAUGUUGGUGGAUAUGUGGGGGGCGGCAGGGAGUUUGUAUGGGUCCCUUCACUUUUGUGAAAUGACAUAAGUUUUUGUUUUUUUUGCUGUGGUUUACAGAUAAAUAUAUUUUAUGGGUUACCUACUGUACUGGUCUCUGCUUGUAGGGCUCUAGUGCUCUGACUUGGAAGUUCUAGGCUGACUUUGGAUUCUUGACUCUAGAAUUUCAGGAGUAGGGUUUAGCUUGAGAGGGGUUUUGUUUGUGGUGACUGAGUGGUGCCAUACUUGGUUACCUCUCUUCCCUGAGAUGGCUGUCUGAACAUUUUAUAUGAAGUAGGAAGUUACCUUUCAUUUCAUCUUAGAAAGUUCUUGGUUCUAUUCAUCUGCUGAUAAGGUGGAAUAAGUAAAGCUCUCUGGAGUGAAUAAUACUGAAUACACAAGCUUCUUGUAAAUUCAAAGAGCACUGUUUGAAUGAUACAAGAAGCUGCAUGUUUCGUUGUGCUAUACUGGAGUGCAGCAGAAAUGAAGAGCCCUUCUCGCAGUGAAUUUAGAACAAGUUUACUGCAAGAUCGAUGGGGCCUUACUAAGCUGCAAUGUAACAAGGGAAUUCCAUGUGAAACCUGCUGGCUUUAUUCCUAGCGCUUAUCAAUGAGCCUAGUAUUGGACAUCUAUAACAUCUAGCAAUGCAUGUGGGAAGAGGUAACCCCUUUCAAAUAAUCUGAAAUGACUUGGAUUAUAUAGUUAAAUUAAGUUUGACUUUCUUGAUAUAACACAAUACAAGAGGACAAACCAGUAUAUCUCUUCUAAGGAUAAAUCUUGUGUCUAACCUCUUGCAGUUCUUUGAAAGGGUUAACUAAAUAAUGACAAAAUUAUUUAAACUUUUAAAAAGCUAUUGAAAAAAACCAUCUUCAGACGUGAAUUCUUCCUGACCACAUUUGUGUUUAAGGGAUAAAGGUAGGUAGAGAGCUGAGACGUAAGGUUUUGGUAUAGAUUAAAAAUAGUUAGGGGUUAAGCAAAAAGAGGGAAUAGUUGUCUGGUUUUCAGCAUGGAAAGGGCUUAAAGGAAACCUCACAGAUAAGUUCUAGGACUGGUGUUUAAUAUAUUAAUUAUUUGGAAAUUAAGGGUGAAUAGAGAGGUGGCAAAAUAUGCCAGUGAGGUACUAGUUAGGUUCCUCAAGCCUAAGGAGUGUUGAGGAACUUCAGAAGUAUCAAUCCAAGCCAGAUAAUCUGGCAACCCAUGAAAUGCUAUGUAGACCAGUGCAACAUAAGGCAUGUUAAAAGAAACAAUUUAAACUUCUCAUAUACACCAAGUUCUGAAUUAAUGAUAACCUUACCAAAAAAACUAGGUGUAUUUUAGCAAAUAUGUAUACUUAGCACAUCAUAAAUAAUUUAGUGUUUUGCCCUGGGGAGAGAAAAGGCAAAAGAAAGAAGCAUGGAAUAGGUACUAGUCCAGCACUUAUCGCACUGCUGCAAUGGUGUCCAACGUUUUCAUCUUGAGGGCCAAACAUGUUUCAAAAAGGUGAAGGCUAAAACCAGUACUCUGAGGCACAAUCUUUGUCAUGUGCCACCCUCUUUGCACUACUCAGAUAGCAGAAAGGCGGCAGAAACCACCCAUGAGAACCCAGCAGCCCGAGAGAUGACAUAGCUCCCUUCUGGGCCUCAUGUUGAAUUCCAGCUAUCUCCAUUGUGGCUCAUAGCUGGCACAAGUUAGAGCAGCCCUCAAGCUGCUGUAACCUGCACUAGAGCUGCAGCACAGAAUCCAGAAGCCAUAUUUGGUGGCUGGUUCAGUCCCCACCUCCACCCAUCUCUCCUCAGCUGCCCGGGUGCUUUUGUGGGAGAUGGGUGCUGUCCUGUGCUAGGCACUCCCCUAGACUCAGAUAGAGCUACUCAAGCUCCUCUACUGCUCUUGGAAGUCCCGUAGUCAUCAGGGAAACAGGUAAUGGAGCAGCCAGAUUUGUUUUCUUCCUCUGGGAUGCAGCAGGUAGCUAGUGGGGAGCUGCUGAGUAGCGGUAGCAAGGAAAACAUGCAUCAGAGCUGCUUCAGGGGAAGUGAUGGGAAGUAGUCACCCUAACCUACUCCCUUUAGUGAUGGGCUGAUUCAAGACACUUCAGAUUGAAAGUUGCACACCGUAGCUCAGAGAACACAUUUUUAGGUCUUUUAAAUGCAAAUUUUCUCAAAGCAGCUCCCUUUGAGAGCCAUGGAGUAGACACAGUGCACUGGAAGUCACUUAGAUACUAUGAUGAGUGUGGUAUAAAAACCUGAACAGAACAAAAUACACAGUCAUGCAGUAAUAGAAUAAGAUGUUUAUCUCUAUCUCAUAAUAGAGCCUAUGGCAAAACUGUAUUGCAGCUGUUACCUAAAUAGAUGGUGCUGGUGUCAUCUUGAUAUCUCUGUUGGUUCUGGUUAUCUAAACUCAAAUGGGGAAGAGCAGAAAUUGAAAGGCAAAGUGAUUGGCGAGGAUUCCCAUGGGAGGAGAGCUGAGGUAUAGGUGACUAGGACUGUUUAAUUUGGAGAAUAAAAGGAGAUAGAUACUCUCCCGCCAAUUCAUUUAUACUUAAGUGUUCUUAUUGCCAUUUUCCACUAUACAAGAACUGUUCCCUUAAGUAAUUGAAUAGCAACAUUUAAAAUUGAUUUUAAUAUUUAUACAUUGUAUAAUUAACCUGUGGAGCUUGCUGCCACAGAGUAUUAUUUUAUCAAAUCUCUUUGCAAACGCCAAACGUGUUCUUGAUUGCAUCCGUAGUCACAUCAUCUAGGAGAAAAUUACAAAGGUCAGUCUGUAUGCUUCGUGACAUAAACUGGUCCACUGAGGUCAGGAAGGAAUCCCACACCCCAUCUGCUAUAGUAUUUUAUAGUUUGGUGUGUUAUGUGGGGAUUACAUCUUCCUUGGAAGCAUCACACAUUGGCCACUUGGAAACAGGAUACAGGACUAGACAACUGGUCUAUUCUAAUAUAACAAUUCUUUAUAAGAGCUAGAUGUUGUUAUUGUGUUCUUAGGUACAAAAUGACCCCCUACAGCUCCUGUCGCUGCUGAUCCCCAUUCCAGAUCCCCGGAAGGACACAAGGGACUAUAUCCUGUCUCAGGAGUGAUACAAAUGUUAUCUGGAGCUGUUUGACUGCUGGAAUCCUACUCUGAGAAGGUGGGUAUAGAAUUGCAUGCUUUAUACAGUUCCUUUUCUGAUUUUCCCUUUCUCUCUGAUGAGAGUGCACAUUGGGGCACAAGGUCUCAGGCUGGCUUAAAGUAUUGCUGUAAAAACGGAGCCUAUUAAUCAGCACUGAGGCUUUUACCCCCAAGUCUUCAGAUGUGCUGUCCAUGACCUACUUGUGUGUAUGUUUGUUCUUUUGAUGGCACCCUAGAAUGGUGUGUAUAUGUGGACACUGCUCUUUCCGCUAUUAAGUAAUAUAUUAAACAGUUAAUGUGAAAUGA
Long non-coding RNA from Mauremys mutica (yellowpond turtle), 5353 nucleotides. RefSeq lists it as uncharacterized. The transcript has 2 exons. NCBI's taxonomy places the organism in Eukaryota, Metazoa, Chordata, Testudines, Geoemydidae. The record is from RefSeq and is a predicted model, not a curated record.